RNAcentral lists this ribosomal RNA (497 nucleotides) under uncultured bacterium. Its description in RNAcentral is "partial 16S ribosomal RNA". It matches the Rfam family "Bacterial small subunit ribosomal RNA", at positions 28 to 507 of the family's 1533-position model. The record is from RNAcentral.
GAUGAACGCUGGCGGCGUGCCUAAUACAUGCAAGUCGAGCGAACGGACGAGAAGAUUGCUUCUCUGAUGUUAGCGGCGGACGGGUGAGUAACACGUGGAUAACCUACCUAUAAGACUGGGAUAACUUCGGGAAACCUGAGCUAAUACCGGAUGAUAUUUUGAACCGCAUGGUUCAAAAGUGAAAGACGGUCUUGCUGUCACUUAUAGAUGGAUCCGCGCUGCAUUAGCUAGUUGGUAAGGUAACGGCUUACCAAGGCAACGAUGCAUAGCCGACCUGAGAGGGUGAUCGGCCACACUGGAACUGAGACACGGUCCAGACUCCUACGGGAGGCAGCAGUAGGGAAUCUUCCGCAAUGGGCGAAAGCCUGACGGAGCCACGCCGCGUGAGUGAUGAAGGUCUUCGGAUCGUAAAACUCUGUUAUUAGGGAAGAACAUAUGUGUAAGUAACUGUGCACAUCUUGACGGUACCUACUCAGAAAGCCACGGCUAACUACGUG